Long non-coding RNA from Pangasianodon hypophthalmus (striped catfish), 1589 nucleotides. RefSeq lists it as uncharacterized. The record is from RefSeq and is a predicted model, not a curated record. The transcript is spliced from 3 exons. NCBI's taxonomy places the organism in Eukaryota, Metazoa, Chordata, Actinopteri, Siluriformes, Pangasiidae.
GCCAGAUGAGCCAGACGGGAUUUGGCACGAAAACAUGCAGGCGGGAAGAUUUCCAGAAAUUUCCUCCCUGCUAUAAAGUCUGCAAUCAACACUGAAUUGGGUUACUCGUCUUCCAGUGAAGACACUCGAAAAGAGAAUCGAGGAUUCACCAGCGAUGGCUGCAGUGGAGGCUGGACUGAUCUCUGAAAUAAAAACUGGCGAUGAUCUGAACGUCUGCCAGAGAUGAGCCGUCUGACAGGAGUGUGUGUUAGCAGAGUAUCCUGAGUGAUGAACCCUGGCAUGCACACACAGCUGGAUGAGCCUCUGGAGUCUCACACACACACACACACACACACACACACACACACUGUGAGAGGAUUCUGUUCAGGACAUGUGGAACUAGGCUCUGCCCACAGCUGAACACCAGGAACCUUUACUGGACCACAGGAACUUCAGGCAUGUUUUUACCAGAGGAACCAGAACUGAUUUGAAUUUAUUGUUUGUAGUUCCAGAAAACAUUUUAUUUCCUGUUCUGCAGUAGGUAGGCCUGCUUUUCUUGAGGGCUGGGAACUUGCACAGUGGAAUAAAUAUUGCUCAGUCAAAAUGACAAACCCUUAUGUCUGUCUCUUUUUUUUUUUUUUUUAAAUAACCUAUACACAAGGAACCUUUACUGGAACUCUACUGUGUGCUCAGUGUAUACUUAUAUAUUUUCUGUAGCAAGACUGUAUUGUUUACAAUCAAGUAAAACAGUUUAGAAGAAGCGAAAUGCAUGAAAUCAGAGCUCAGAAACCUGAUGUGUGAAGUGAUCGCUUCUCAAGAUUUUGCUCUCACACACACUCGCCCACACCACGUCACACAGACUGAUUUUUACUAACCAAACCAUCACCACUGCAAUCGUUCAUCAAGUGCAGAUAAAUCACUUUUACUCAUUUAUUCAAUGCCACUCAAACAAAUCUGUGCUAAACUAGACUAGAAUUAAACAAACACAUGUGUGCUAAAUUCAUAAAGCAAAGGACAGCCUGCUAGAAACAGUGGUUAAAAAAAACCCCACAAAAACUCUUAAAUAAUUUUCAAGAGAGACUUUGUUCAUGAGAUUAACCUUUUACCCUACAGCUGGAUAUUAUUUAUCUGAUGGUGUGAUUAGAUUUUUAUACAACAGUAAAUAAUACUGCCAUCAUUAGAUUGUUUAAUAGAAUUUACUGUUUUAUAUUUUAAUAAAUACUCAUUGGCAGAUGGCCUGGUGACGGUAACUCUGCUCCAUCACACCAUCCUGUCGUUGAUUGUUUUCCUAUUCCUUAAAUAGUCUUGUAUUGGCAUUGAACACCACCACUGCCAGCUACGACAUAUUUGUUUCCCCUAAAUGAUGUUAAAUUGUGAAGAGAGUUCAUCAUUCUACAUAAUACACACUUUUUGUUUUUUGAAAUAUCAUUUUGUUUUUGUUUUUUUUUUUAAACCCGCAUUUCCUAGUGGGCGAUGGUUUAUUUCACGGCUUGUACACAUACUUGUUGAACUCUGUUCACAAUCCUACUCACACACUUACUGAAAACACACCACGUCUCACACACAUCCUUACACACACUGCACUUGCACUCCUAAACUUCUGAAACCAA